This 551-nucleotide ribosomal RNA is filed under the name Leuconostoc mesenteroides. Its description in RNAcentral is "partial 23S ribosomal RNA". It matches the Rfam family "Bacterial large subunit ribosomal RNA", at positions 1 to 555 of the family's 2925-position model. The record is from RNAcentral. Lineage: Bacteria; Bacillati; Bacillota; Bacilli; Lactobacillales; Lactobacillaceae.
GGUUAAGUGAAUAAGGGCGCGUGGUGGAUGCCUUGGCACUAGGAGCCGAUGAAGGACGUGACUAACUACGAUAAGCUUCGGGGAGCGGUAAGUACGCUAUGAGCCGGAGAUUUCCGAAUGGGGAAACCCAACAUUAUAAUGUUAUCUAAAAGUCAAUACAUAGCUUUUAGAAGGAAUACGCUGUGAACUGAAACAUCUCAUUAGCAGCAGGAGCAGAAAGAAAAAUCGAUUCCCUGAGUAGCGGCGAGCGAAACGGGAAGAGCCCAAACCAGGAUGCUUGCAUCUUGGGGUUGUAGGACUGUCGUUGAGUUACCAAGUAAGCAUUUAGGUGAAAACGUUGGGAAGCGUUAUCAAAGAGGGUGAUAAUCCCGUAACCGAAAGAUGACUUACCUCUAGACAGGAUCCUGAGUACGGCCGGACACGAGAAAUCCGGUCGGAAUCUGCGGGGACCAUCCCGUAAGGCUAAAUACUCCCUAGUGACCGAUAGUGAACCAGUACCGUGAGGGAAAGGUGAAAAGCACCCCGGAAGGGGAGUGAAAUAGUUCCUGAAA